ACGAACGCUGGCGGCGUGCCUAAUACAUGCCAGUAGAACGCUGAAGAGAGGAGCUUGCUCUUCUUGGAUGAGUUGCGAACGGGUGAGUAACGCGUAGGUAACCUGCCUUGUAGCGGGGGAUAACUAUUGGAAACGAUAGCUAAUACCGCAUAACAAUGGAUGACACAUGUCAUUUAUUUGAAAGGGGCAAUUGCUCCACUACAAGAUGGACCUGCGUUGUAUUAGCUAGUAGGUGAGGUAAUGGCUCACCUAGGCGACGAUACAUAGCCGACCUGAGAGGGUGAUCGGCCACACUGGGACUGAGACACGGCCCAGACUCCUACGGGAGGCAGCAGUAGGGAAUCUUCGGCAAUGGGGGCAACCCUGACCGAGCAACGCCGCGUGAGUGAAGAAGGGUUUCGGAUCGUAAAGCUCUGUUGUAAGUCAAGAACGGGUGUGAGAGUGGAAAGUUCACACUGUGACGGUAGCUUACCAGAAAGGGACGGCUAACUACGUG
Molecule: ribosomal RNA, 496 nt
Filed under: uncultured bacterium
Lineage: Bacteria
Description: partial 16S ribosomal RNA
Rfam family: Bacterial small subunit ribosomal RNA
Source: RNAcentral